CCUACGGGAGGCAGCAGUAGGGAAUCUUGGGCAAUGGGCGAAAGCCUGACCCAGCGAUGCCGCGUGUGCGAAGAAGGCCUUAGGGUUGUAAAGCACUUUCAGUCGUGAAGAAAAGCUACGAUUUAAUAUGUCGUGGUCUUGACGUUAGCGACAGAAGAAGUACCGGCUAACUCCGUGCCAGCAGCCGCGGUAAUACGGAGGGUACGAACGUUAAUCGGAAUUACUGGGCGUAAAGCGCGCGUAGGCGGUUUGAUAAGUGGGAUGUGAAAGCCCCGGGCUCAACCUGGGAACUGCAUUCCAAACUGUCAAACUAGAGUGUGGUAGAGGGCGGUAGAAUUUCCUGUGUAGCGGUGAAAUGCGUAGAUAUAGGAAGGAAUACCGAUGGCGAAGGCAGCCGCCUGGACCAACACUGACGCUGAGGUGCGAAAGCGUGGGGAGCA
Molecule: ribosomal RNA, 440 nt
Filed under: uncultured bacterium
Lineage: Bacteria
Description: bacterial SSU rRNA
Rfam family: Bacterial small subunit ribosomal RNA
Source: RNAcentral